Daphnia pulicaria is the source of this 195-nucleotide long non-coding RNA. RefSeq lists it as uncharacterized. The transcript has 3 exons. The record is from RefSeq and is a predicted model, not a curated record. Lineage: Eukaryota; Metazoa; Arthropoda; Branchiopoda; Diplostraca; Daphniidae.
GAGUUAAAAUAGAGCUAGCCUCCCCUUUACCUGAUAAGCCCCAAGAAGGAAGGCUGGAGUUCUUAGUGGAUGGCUCCACAAAUGCAACAUCAGCAUUUCAAGGAAGAGGCGGAUAAAAUCUGGAAAAUGAAAUUUGUAAAUUCCUACAAAGAUCUUAUAUAUGCUUCAGGAAUUUAACCUGACAAUAGAUCCAUU